RNAcentral lists this ribosomal RNA (479 nucleotides) under uncultured bacterium. Its description in RNAcentral is "partial 16S ribosomal RNA". It matches the Rfam family "Bacterial small subunit ribosomal RNA", at positions 28 to 507 of the family's 1533-position model. The record is from RNAcentral.
GAUGAACGCUAGCGGGAGGCCUAACACAUGCAAGCCGAGCGGUAUUGUUUCUUCGGAAAUGAGAGAGCGGCGUACGGGUGCGGAACACGUGUGCAACCUGCCUUUAUCUGGGUGAUAGCCUUUCGAAAGGAAGAUUAAUACUCCAUAACAUAUUGAACGGCAUCGUUCGAUAUUGAAAGCUCCGGCGGCUAGAGAUGGGCACGCGCAAGAUUAGCUAGUUGGUGAGGUAACGGCUCACCAAGGCGAUGAUCUUUAGGUGGCCUGAGAGGGUGAUCCCCCACAAUGGUACUGAGACACGGACCAGACUCCUACGGGAGGCAGCAGUGAGGAAUAUUGGUCAAUGGGUGCAAGCCUGAACCAGCCAUCCCGCGUGAAGGACGACUGCCCUAUGGGUUGUAAACUUCUUUUGUAUAGGGAUAAACCUGCCCUCGUGAGGGUAGCUGAAGGUACUAUACGAAUAAGCACCGGCUAACUCCGUG